Molecule: microRNA precursor, 204 nt
Filed under: Oryza sativa Japonica Group (Japanese rice)
Lineage: Eukaryota; Viridiplantae; Streptophyta; Magnoliopsida; Poales; Poaceae
Description: MIR812 microRNA precursor family
Rfam family: MIR812 microRNA precursor family
Source: Rfam by way of RNAcentral
AAAAAGACAAACCCUGGUUUCCGUGUCCAACGUUUGACCGUCCGUCUUAUUUGAAAAAAUAUGAAAAAAAAUAAAAAGACAAGUCACAUAUAAAAUAUUAAUCAUGUUUUAUCAUCUAACAACAAUGAAAAUACGAAUUAUAAAAAAAAUUUAUAUAAGACGGACGGUCAAAGUUAGACACGGAAAUCAAGGGUUUGCCUUUUU